CUCUGUGACUCCUACGGGAGGCAGCAGUGGGGAAUAUUGCACAAGUGGGGGAAACCCUGAUGCAGCCAUGCCGCGUGUGUGAAGAAGGCCUUCGGGUUGUAAAGCACUUUCAGUAGGGAGGAAGGUAGUGUAGUUAACACCUGCAUUAUUUGACGUUACCUACAGAAGAAGCACCGGCUAACUCCGUGCCAGCAGCCGCGGUAAUACGGAGGGUGCGAGCGUUAAUCGGAAUUACUGGGCGUAAAGCGCAUGCAGGCGGCCUGUUAAGUCAGAUGUGAAAGCCCCGGGGCUUAACCUCGGAAUUGCAUUUGAAACUGGCAGGCUAGAGUCUUGUAGAGGGGGUAGAAUUUCAGGUGUAGCGGUGAAAUGCGUAGAGAUCUGAAGGAAUACCAGUGGCGAAGGCGGCCCCCUGGACAAAGACUGACGCUCAGAUGCGAAAGCGUGGGGAGCAAACAGGAUUAGAUACCCUGGUAG
Molecule: ribosomal RNA, 474 nt
Filed under: uncultured bacterium
Lineage: Bacteria
Description: bacterial SSU rRNA
Rfam family: Bacterial small subunit ribosomal RNA
Source: RNAcentral